Molecule: signal recognition particle RNA, 148 nt
Filed under: Gorilla gorilla gorilla (western lowland gorilla)
Lineage: Eukaryota; Metazoa; Chordata; Mammalia; Primates; Hominidae
Also listed under: 1 other name
Description: Metazoan signal recognition particle RNA
Rfam family: Metazoan signal recognition particle RNA
About the family: The signal recognition particle (SRP) is a universally conserved ribonucleoprotein. It is involved in the co-translational targeting of proteins to membranes.
Source: Rfam by way of RNAcentral
GCCAGGCGUGGUGGCGUGUGCCUGUAAUCCCAGCUACUCAGGAGGCUGAGGUGGGAGAAUCACUUGAACCCGGGAUGCAGAGGUUGCAGUGAGCCAAGAUUGGGCCACUGCACUCCAGUCUGGGUGAUAGAGUGAGACCCUAUCUCAA